RNAcentral lists this ribosomal RNA (301 nucleotides) under uncultured bacterium. Its description in RNAcentral is "partial 16S ribosomal RNA". It matches the Rfam family "Bacterial small subunit ribosomal RNA", at positions 509 to 809 of the family's 1533-position model. The record is from RNAcentral.
CAGCCGCCGCGGGAAAACAGAGGGUGCGAGCGUUAAUCGGAUUUACUGGGCGUAAAGCGUGCGUAGGCGGCUUUUUAAGUCGGAUGUGAAAUCCCUGAGCUUAACUUAGGAAUUGCAUUCGAUACUGGGAAGCUAGAGUAUGGGAGAGGAUGGUAGAAUUCCAGGUGUAGCGGUGAAAUGCGUAGAGAUCUGGAGGAAUACCGAUGGCGAAGGCAGCCAUCUGGCCUAAUACUGACGCUGAGGUACGAAAGCAUGGGGAGCAAACAGGAUUAGAUACCCCCGUAGUCCCUGUCUCUUAUAA